UAACUCGUGAAGCAACAUCUCAGAAUUGAAUCGGCGAGUUGUGUAUUUGCUGGCAAUCCGAGCCUGCUUGGAUCAUUUUGGAAGAUACAUACCCCUGCGCUUUUCAAAGCGGACAGACGUGCCCGUGUCCAACUUGACAAAGGCGGAAUUAUUUUAGGAAAGGUAUAUUAUUUGUAAAAAAAAAUAUACAAUUUUUAAGUAACAUAUUUGACAGACCAUGGCAACUAGUAAAGCAGAAUCCGAGAAUUCAAUCGGUGGCUGUAUGUUGACUGACAAGAAUAUAAUUGCUGUUAAUCCAGCCCUGCUUCUUGUACAAAUGCAUAGUGGGGAGACAUGAACAUUUUUCGAAAUUGCGGCCCUAUCCUCUUGGGAUUCUACGUUGGACAAAUUCUGAAAACGACCCAGAAAUAUAAUUGGAGGUUCAAACCCGUGCGAGGUGAGGUUUGAUAUAUGAAACAGACCAGUCAUGGGGACACGAGAUAUGCAAAGUUUCAGCGUAGUCGUCGCCACAUUGCUGCCAACACUGCAUAUAUAAGGAAUCACGAACCAUUCAGGAAUAUUGAGACUUAGACCAGUAUCUUUUUAAGUAGGCAUGUGGGGUAAAGAAGACGCAGAAGCUUCAGUCGGGUACCAUCGGUAACGUAGGCGAUUAAUAUAUUUCCACCACUACAUAUGUUGGAUUGGAAUUUCCCAUUUGAUGCUUUGACUGACUAAAUGAGGAAACUUGGAGGUAAGCUCUUACGGAAUUCUAUCGAAAUAUGUUUAGUAACAUAUUGGUGCAUUACUCUGUCUUCCAGUCAGUUUCACAUAAACUUUGCACGUAUUAUAGAAAUGCCACCUACUUUUUUUGUGUUAAUAUUAUUGAAAGUAGUAGCUGGUAGCUGUAGUCGUAAGCCCAGAGAGUCUCUGUUUUGAACAUAAUACACAAAAUGGGGCGUUCAAAAACAAUAGACUGCAUGCCUUUUAGAGUCGGCGUAAACUAUGGUCAUAUACCCCUGAUCAAAUUCAGAACUAGAAAAUCGUUGUGUCUCUGCAUUAAAAAUAAUAGUAAAAUUUAUUGUAGGCACCAAGUAGAGUAUCGAAAAUUUCCAUUUUUAGUGCCAAAUUGGUUACUCCAGUAAAUUCCAACUGUUCUAAUUUUUUUAAAAUAAUUUAUGAUGUUAGUGAGUUUCAUUGCAAUUAUUUGUUACUUAAACUUUCUGCGUAUUAAACCUUAAUUAACAAUACGCUAUUCGUUAACGCAGGUAGAAUUAAUGACGCUGACUAACCUGAUUUUGUCCAGGGGGGCGUAGUACGGUAGCUUG
Cylas formicarius (sweet potato weevil) is the source of this 1304-nucleotide long non-coding RNA. RefSeq lists it as uncharacterized. Lineage: Eukaryota; Metazoa; Arthropoda; Insecta; Coleoptera; Brentidae. The record is from RefSeq and is a predicted model, not a curated record. The transcript is spliced from 3 exons.